This is a long non-coding RNA of Oryza sativa Japonica Group (Japanese rice), 1213 nucleotides long. RefSeq lists it as uncharacterized. The record is from RefSeq and is a predicted model, not a curated record. NCBI's taxonomy places the organism in Eukaryota, Viridiplantae, Streptophyta, Magnoliopsida, Poales, Poaceae.
UAGAAAGCUAAAAAGCAAGAAAAGACACCACAAGACCAGGACCAACCAGCCAAGACUUAUUCCUACACAUGAACCAUUCUCCAGUCCUCCCUCCCUAGGUGUGCUCCAAAUCCAAGACUCCCUGCCAUGGUCCUUUGCCCAGAUCCAGGCUGCCACGUCUUCGAUUGCUCACAUCUGCACUUGAUCGUGGUCUUCGGCGACAGCCUGCAAGGGAGAGGAGACCUGACGGUGGGGAUUGAAGCGGUGCGAUGGAGAUCCGGCGGGAGGGAAGACCAGUGCUUGCUCCCGCCGAGCGUGUUCUCGACUGCGCCUCCUCCUUCCCACCUCAAAGAAAUCAGUUCGAUUUAAUCUACCACAGGUAAUGCUUCACUUGCAAUGUUACCUGGCAAAUACAACUUCUUAGUGCUUUUGAAGGUAGCUGCUGCGGUGAGAGAGUCUGGUACGUCUUGGAUCUUCUUGGUUUGGACUUGACCAAAAGCAAUGAAUAGUCAGGCAGAUAUUCCUCUAGACGAAAAAUGUCUGCAUGCUUUGCUUUGUUGAAUAGAUAAAGUGGGUCAAAACGGGAGUCCUAAUGUGCAAGCAGUUGGUCAAGAAGCUGAGGAUAUCCCAUUCCAAAAAAAAUAUGUGCCUUCUUUGCAUGUAAUCAAGCCAUGCAGAUUUAAUCUUUGAUCAAGCCAAGAUCAGUUUUGUCACUAUCUGAAUUUGCCGUAGGAAAAUGGCAGAUUUCCUUCUCACAGGCAUAAUUGCAGACUGUCAAUAACUCAAUACUUUGAAAGGGUAGCUUUGCCCAGAGUUAAUUGUGACAACAUGAGCAACGGUGAAGAAGAAGAAAGAGCAUGAAUUCCAUGACUAAAUAUUGUGGUCUAUUUUGUAAAUCCAUUGCCGGGGUAUCUGUUCAUGUAAUCCACAAAAAGACUUGGCCCGUAAAUCCACCGCAGUUAACAUUCUUGGCCCCCACAAGAAUAUGGGUAUAUUUCACAAUUCAAAUUGAAGGCUCCCAUUAAAUAAUUAUAGGUGUAUUUGGUGGAUGACUCGAGUUCAGUUUCGAUGGAAUGUACACUUUCUCUUCAAAUUCAGCUUGAUUUUUUUCUCAGUUUAUAAGUUAGACAUGUGCAGUGUAUUGUGCUUGGUUGUAUGAAAUGGAGUACUGAUCUUUUUUUUAACUAUUAAUUUGCAUGGAAAUUGAAAUGAAUCCUGAUUUCAUCUUUAUUUA